AUUGAACGCUGGCGGCAGGCUUAACACAUGCAAGUCGAGCGGGGUGAUGGUGCUUGCACUAUCACUUAGCGGCGGACGGGCGAGUAAUGCUUAGGAAUCUGCCUAUUAGUGGGGGACAACAUCUCGAAAGGGAUGCUAAUACCGCAUACGUCCUACGGGAGAAAGCAGGGGAUCACUUGUGACCUUGCGCUAAUAGAUGAGCCUAAGUCGGAUUAGCUAGUUGGUGGGGUAAAGGCCUACCAAGGCGACGAUCUGUAGCGGGUCUGAGAGGAUGAUCCGCCACACUGGGACUGAGAAACGGCCCAGACGCCUACGGGAGGCAGCAGUGGGGAAUAUUGGACAAUGGGGGGAACCCUGAUCCAGCCAUGCCGCGUGUGUGAAGAAGGCCUUAUGGUUGUAAAGCACUUUAAGCGAGGAGGAGGCUCUUUUGGUUAAUACCCAAGAUGAGUGGACGUUACUCGCAGAAUAAGCACCGGCUAACUCUGUGCCAGCCGCCGCCGUAA
Molecule: ribosomal RNA, 503 nt
Filed under: uncultured bacterium
Lineage: Bacteria
Description: partial 16S ribosomal RNA
Rfam family: Bacterial small subunit ribosomal RNA
Source: RNAcentral